Molecule: ribosomal RNA, 749 nt
Filed under: Flavobacterium sp. HME7802
Lineage: Bacteria; Pseudomonadati; Bacteroidota; Flavobacteriia; Flavobacteriales; Flavobacteriaceae
Description: bacterial SSU rRNA
Rfam family: Bacterial small subunit ribosomal RNA
Source: RNAcentral
AGUCGAGGGGUAGAAGGAGCUUGCUCCUUUGAGACCGGCGCACGGGUGCGUAACGCGUAUGCAAUCUACCUUUUACAGAGGGAUAGCCCAGAGAAAUUUGGAUUAAUACCUCAUAGUAUAUAUCAUUCGCAUGUUUGGUAUAUUAAAGUUCCAACGGUAAAAGAUGAGCAUGCGUCCCAUUAGUUAGUUGGUAAGGUAACGGCUUACCAAGACGAUGAUGGGUAGGGGUCCUGAGAGGGAGAUCCCCCACACUGGUACUGAGACACGGACCAGACUCCUACGGGAGGCAGCAGUGAGGAAUAUUGGUCAAUGGACGCAAGUCUGAACCAGCCAUGCCGCGUGCAGGAAGACGGUCCUAUGGAUUGUAAACUGCUUUUGUACGGGAAGAAACACUCCUACGUGUAGGAGCCUGACGGUACCGUAAGAAUAAGGAUCGGCUAACUCCGUGCCAGCAGCCGCGGUAAUACGGAGGAUCCAAGCGUUAUCCGGAAUCAUUGGGUUUAAAGGGUCCGUAGGCGGUUUAAUAAGUCAGUGGUGAAAUCUGGUCGCUCAACGAUCAAACUGCCAUUGAUACUGUUAGACUUGAAUUACUGUGAAGUAACUAGAAUAUGUAGUGUAGCGGUGAAAUGCUUAGAUAUUACAUGGAAUACCAAUUGCGAAGGCAGGUUACUAACAGUUGAUUGACGCUGAUGGACGAAAGCGUGGGGAGCGAACAGGAUUAGAUACCCUGGUAGUCCACGCCGUAAACG